AUUGAACGCUGGCGGCAGGCCUAACACAUGCAAGUCGAAUGGUAACAGGAAACAGCUUGCUGUUUCGCUGACGAGUGGCGGACGGGUGAGUAAUGUCUGGGAAACUGCCUGAUGGAGGGGGAUAACUACUGGAAACGGUAGCUAAUACCGCAUAACGUCGCAAGACCAAAGAGGGGGACCUUCGGGCCUCUUGCCAUCAGAUGUGCCCAGAUGGGAUUAGCUAGUAGGUGGGGUAACGGCUCACCUAGGCGACGAUCCCUAGCUGGUCUGAGAGGAUGACCAGCCACACUGGAACUGAGACACGGUCCAGACCCCUACGGGAGGCAGCAGUGGGGAAUAUUGCAUAAUGGGCGCAAGCCUGAUGCAGCCAUGCCGCGUGUAUGAAGAAGGCCUUCGGGUUGUAAAGUACUUUCAGCGGGGAGGAAGGGAGUAAAGUUAAUACCUUUGCUCAUUGACGUUACCCGCAGAAGAAGCACCGGCUAACUCCGUG
RNAcentral lists this ribosomal RNA (490 nucleotides) under uncultured bacterium. RNAcentral describes it as "partial 16S ribosomal RNA". It matches the Rfam family "Bacterial small subunit ribosomal RNA", at positions 30 to 507 of the family's 1533-position model. The record is from RNAcentral.